This 420-nucleotide ribosomal RNA is filed under the name uncultured eukaryote. Its description in RNAcentral is "SSU rRNA". It matches the Rfam family "Eukaryotic small subunit ribosomal RNA", at positions 592 to 1018 of the family's 1831-position model. The record is from RNAcentral.
CAAUAGCGUAUAUUAAAGUUGUUGCAGUUAAAAAGCUCGUAGUUGGAUUUCGGGAUGGGCCAGUCGGUCUGCCGUAAGGUAUGUUACUGGCUGGUCUGUCCUUCUUCGCAAAGACUGCGUGUGCCCUUAAUUGUGUGUGCGUAGGAUUUGCGACGUUUACUUUGAAAAAUUAGAGUGUUCAAAGCAGGCUGACCGCUUGAAUACAUGAGCAUGGAAUAAUGGAAUAGGACUUUGGUUCUAUUUUGUUGGUUUCUUGAACCGAAGUAAUGAUUAAGAGGGACAGUUGGGGGCAUUCGUAUUUCGUUGUCAGAGGUGAAAUUCUUGGAUUUACGAAAGACGAACAACUGCGAAAGCAUUUGCCAAGAAUGUUUUCAUUAAUCAAGAACGAAAGUUAGAGGCUCGAAGACGAUCAGAUACCAU